GAUGAACGCUGGCGGCGUGCCUAAUACAUGCAAGUCGAGCGAACAGACGAGGAGCUUGCUCCUCUGACGUUAGCGGCGGACGGGUGAGUAACACGUGGAUAACCUACCUAUAAGACUGGGAUAACUUCGGGAAACCGGAGCUAAUACCGGAUAAUAUAUUGAACCGCAUGGUUCAAUAGUGAAAGACGGGUUUGCUGUCACUUAUAGAUGGAUCCGCGCCGCAUUAGCUAGUUGGUAAGGUAACGGCGUACCAAGGCAACGAUGCGUAGCCGACCUGAGAGGGUGAUCGGCCACACUGGAACUGAGACACGGUCCAGACUCCUACGGGAGGCAGCAGUAGGGAAUCUUCCGCAAUGGGCGAAAGCCUGACGGAGCAACGCCGCGUGAGUGAUGAAGGUCUUCGGAUCGUAAAACUCUGUUAUUAGGGAAGAACAAAUGUGUAAGUAACUAUGCACGUCUUGACGGUACCUAAUCAGAAAGCCACGGCUAACUACGUG
This 497-nucleotide ribosomal RNA is filed under the name uncultured bacterium. RNAcentral's name for it is "partial 16S ribosomal RNA". It matches the Rfam family "Bacterial small subunit ribosomal RNA", at positions 28 to 507 of the family's 1533-position model. The record is from RNAcentral.